UACGAAGGGUGCAAACGUUGCUCGGAAUUAUUGGGCGUAAAGCGCACGUAGGCGGCAUUGCAAGUCGGAUGUGAAAUCCCUCGGCUUAACCGAGGAAGUGCAUCCGAAACUGCCGUGCUUGAGUACGAAAGAGGAUCGCGGAAUUCCCGGUGUAGAGGUGAAAUUCGUAGAUAUCGGGAGGAACACCAGUGGCGAAGGCGGCGAUCUGGGUCGAGACUGACGCUGAGGUGCGAAAGCGUGGGGAGCAAACAGG
Molecule: ribosomal RNA, 253 nt
Filed under: uncultured bacterium
Lineage: Bacteria
Description: partial 16S ribosomal RNA
Rfam family: Bacterial small subunit ribosomal RNA
Source: RNAcentral